CAGCUAAGCUAGGAAAAUCACUUUGACAUGGUGGCACGGGGAAAGCAGUUUCUAUUGAAGAGCUGAACGUAAUGAGUGCUUGACUUGAAACAUUGGCGGGUAACUUGUCUAAUAGUGCUUGGCUGCUACUCUUUCUUCCAGCUUUUCUUUCCAUCUCUUGAUAACUUGCCUGGAGAUGAUGAACUAUUAAACUCUUUUUAUCUGAAAUUUCCUUUUAAUUUUCUAGAAAAUGCUGUGAUCGCCCACCACGGGUGCGCGCUACCGCGCACCCCCAUGUUGUGUCUCACUUUCUGGUUUGUGUUACAGUUAAAUGAUGUAUUCUUAUGGAGGAGGCAAAAUAUGUACUUGAAGAAGUCCUUCCCAAGUAUAAAUUUUGAUGUAAGUGCUAUCUACAGGGAAAAACCGCAGCUUGAACUUUCAUGCUAUGACUUAAGUUCUAGUUUGGUUAGUGUGAUAUUUGGUUAUGCCUAUGUUCCCCAACUUGAUCACAACUUUACGCUGUCACCACCUAUCUAGACGAAGUUCAAUGGCUAAACAAUAUCUGAUGAGAGAAAUACUAACUCGUGAUUUGGUGAAUACUGAACUGGAUAAUCUGGAGUUGAUUUCCUCGAGUUAAAAAGGAAAGAUAUGUUUUGAAGCCAGAAUAUGAAACGUUUUGGUGCUUAUUAGUUUCUUUUUAGCUGUUAACACAAAAACUGAGAGUGAAUUGGUUGGAGAAGACGCAUGGAGGACACACUCGCACUAUAGCAGGGAAUGGGAAGCAUAUUUAAGUGACCGCACUGAAACCAGAUCAAGUAUGAUUAACACAGGAUAAGGAUCUUCCCACUAUAUUUAGAGCUAGUGACCUUAAAUGUUUGUAUAUGAACCUUUCCAAAUGAGCAAAAAUCUAAAAGAUGACAAUGCCGAAGGAAAAGCCGUAUAAUUGAUCCCUGAUUUUUUACAUUUGGUGCAUACUUGUUAGAGCUGUAUGCUGGUAAAAGUUUCCAAAAUGCAGUGAGAUUGUUAUAUCAUAAAGGGAUGAGUUAAGCCUUGGCCGUAAAAUUACCCGGUACCUAUAUUGAUGUUUGGCUUGAUAUUUGUUUGUUGAUGUUAAAUCCUUAGUGAUACUGCCUCCCCUACCUAUUCAUCUUUCGUCUUCUUUUUGUUUUCUUUUCUAAAAAGAUAACGUCGGUAAGUGUUUGGGCCAGUUUUUGCAACCUUGAUUAUUUCACAGGAUACUUGCUAUCUCUCAUCAGCACAUGUACUGUGCAACUCUGCCUACCAAGGCAUAGAUAGAUGAGAAGAAAUUCCCAACCUAUUCCUCUUCUAGGAUGUAAAUGAUAAAAAAGUAGUGAUAGAAUUGUUAUGUUGCGAUAUCUAAAUAUCUCAUAUGCUCUUUUUGUACUUUUGUAGGCUAUGUCGGAGACGGAUCCAGGAUUUCAAGAGGAUGGGUGCACUAUUGUGAAGAAGUGGAUCUAGAAUUUACAUUUGAUGUGUUUAACUUUAGGCCGAUAUUUUUGAAAUUAUAGGUUCAAAAUUAUAUACUUGUUAACAUUUUGGUAAUUUUCACGUAUAUAUCUAUAUCCCGUGCCGCGGAAAACAAAAUUGUCCAACGUGGGAUUUGAACUACCAAUUCCACUAAUAGACGUG
RNAcentral lists this long non-coding RNA (1629 nucleotides) under Nicotiana benthamiana. Its description in RNAcentral is "long non-coding RNA (NBEN_LNC023732)". Lineage: Eukaryota; Viridiplantae; Streptophyta; Magnoliopsida; Solanales; Solanaceae. The record is from RNAcentral.